Molecule: ribosomal RNA, 424 nt
Filed under: uncultured prokaryote
Description: bacterial SSU rRNA
Rfam family: Bacterial small subunit ribosomal RNA
Source: RNAcentral
UUGGGAAUAUUGGACAAUGGGCGCAAGCCUGAUCCAGCCAUGCCGCGUGAGUGAAGAAGGCCUUAGGGUUGUAAUACUCUUUCGGCGGGGACGAUGAUGACGGUACCCGCAGAAGAAGCCCCGGCUAACUCCGUGCCAGCAGCCGCGGUAAUACGGAGGGGGCUAGCGUUGCUCGGAAUUACUGGGCGUAAAGGGCGUGUAGGCGGGACACCAAGUGAGGCGUGAAAGCCCCGGGCUUAACCCGGCAACUGCGUUUCAUACUCUUGACCUAGAGUCCGGGAGAGGGUGGUGGAAUUCCCAGUGUAGAGGUGAAAUUCGUAGAUAUUGGGAAGAACACCAGUGGCGAAGGCGGCCACCUGGACCGGUACUGACGCUGAGGCGCGAAAGCGUGGGGAGCAAACAGGAUUAGAUACCCCCGUAGUCC